AAUAUUGCACAAUGGGCGAAAGCCUGAUGCAGCAACGCCGCGUGAGUGAAGAAGGCCUUCGGGUUGUAAAGCUCUUUUGUUGGGAAAGAAAUCCUGUCGGUUAAUACCCGGUAGGGAUGACGGUACCCAAAGAAUAAGCACCGGCUAACUUCGUGCCAGCAGCCGCGGUAAUACGAAGGGUGCAAGCGUUACUCGGAAUUACUGGGCGUAAAGCGUGCGUAGGUGGUUUGUUAAGUCUGAUGUGAAAGCCCCGGACUCAACCUGGGAAUUGCAUUGGAUACUGGCAGGCUAGAGUGCGGUAGAGGGUAGUGGAAUUCCCGGUGUAGCAGUGAAAUGCGUAGAGAUCGGGAGGAACAUCUGUGGCGAAGGCGACUGCCUGGACCAGCACUGACACUGAGGCACGAAGGCGUGGGGAGCAAACAGG
This 424-nucleotide ribosomal RNA is filed under the name uncultured bacterium. RNAcentral describes it as "partial 16S ribosomal RNA". It matches the Rfam family "Bacterial small subunit ribosomal RNA", at positions 360 to 776 of the family's 1533-position model. The record is from RNAcentral.